ACAAAACAUAUUCAUAAAAUUCACACCUGAUUACAGUGUUCUUGUUUCUUCUUUUUAGAAGCCGAAAGAUAGAUGUGGUUUCCAAAGUGUCUGAGUUUCCAUGUCCCAUCUGCAGUCGAGUAUACCCCAUGCAGAAACGCCUGACACAACACAUGAAGACACACAGCACAGAGAAACCUCACAUGUGUGACAAGUUUGGGAAAUCCUUCAAGAAGCGGUACACUUUCAAAAUGCAUCUUCUCACACACAAAGA
Non-coding RNA from Danio rerio (zebrafish), 253 nucleotides. The record is from RefSeq and is a predicted model, not a curated record. Lineage: Eukaryota; Metazoa; Chordata; Actinopteri; Cypriniformes; Danionidae.